GACGAACGCUGGCGGCGUGCUUAACACAUGCAAGUCGAGCGGUAAGGCCCCUUCGGGGGUACACGAGCGGCGAACGGGUGAGUAACACGUGGGUGACCUGCCCUCAGCUCUGGGAUAAGCCUGGGAAACUGGGUCUAAUACCGGAUAUGACUCCAUGACGCAUGUCGUGGGGUGGAAAGCCUUGUGCGGCUGGGGAUGGGCCCGCGGCCUAUCAGCUUGUUGGUGGGGUGANGGCCUACCAAGGCGACGACGGGUAGCCGGCCUGAGAGGGCGACCGGCCACACUGGGACUGAGACACGGCCCAGACUCCUACGGGAGGCAGCAGUGGGGAAUCUUGCGCAAGUGGGCGAAAGCCUGACGCAGCGACGCCGCGUGAGGGAUGACGGCCUGGUUGUAACGUA
Molecule: ribosomal RNA, 401 nt
Filed under: uncultured bacterium
Lineage: Bacteria
Description: bacterial SSU rRNA
Rfam family: Bacterial small subunit ribosomal RNA
Source: RNAcentral